GAAAGGAUGAAGCAAGGUAAUGAGUACAUAAAUUGAAUUGGGUCUCUUUCUCUGCCCUCUCUGGUGCUUUGCGGUUUUGAUUUGGCGCCAUGGUUUCGCAUCAUAAUG
Rhododendron vialii is the source of this 108-nucleotide small nucleolar RNA. RefSeq annotates it as small nucleolar RNA snoR100. The record is from RefSeq and is a predicted model, not a curated record. Lineage: Eukaryota; Viridiplantae; Streptophyta; Magnoliopsida; Ericales; Ericaceae. The transcript has a single exon.